AGACUUGUAAAGUUUUAAUUUUGACUCUGAGUUUUUUCUAUUCCAUAUAAAGAUGCUAACAAUUCCUUGCCAUUCUUGUAAAAAAUAUUUCUGAAAUCAGAAUUGGCAUCGUUUGAAACAGAUAUGGAAACAGAUCUUGGAUAAUACAUUCAUUUUGAUCAUUACAAUUGAUCCUAACCAGGAAGGCUUUAAGGUUUUCCACCUUUCAAGAUCUUUUAAUUUCUUGCCAUAAUUUGACAUAAUUGUUUUGGUAUAUUUCUUGAUUAUUACCUGUCAAACGCAAACAAGAUAUUUCACUGAGUGUGUUAUCUGGCAGCCAGAUUCCUCCUGCUAGAAACCUUCUCCUUGUGUUAAAUGUCUUGUGAUUAUUUUUGUUUUUGCUCAUUGAUUUUAUAUCUGGAUAAUUCUCCGAAGCUAUGGAUUGUUUUCAUCAACUGUCUUAUUGCCUCUUGUGCUUCGGUUAUAGUUAAUACUACAUCAUCUGCAUAACAUACAGUAUUACUCUCUACCGAUUUUGAGACAAGACAUUUGUUUGUCACCUCAAAGCUUCUCUACCAAUAUUUCUAAAGCAAUGAUAAAUAAUAAGAGAGAAAAUGGGCAUCCUUGCCUUGUGCCCUUUUUUAUUUGGAAAUCUGUAGAGAGUGCUCUGUUGGCAGUGAUCUUUGCUGUUUGCCAUUAAUAUAUGCUUUUCAUCCAGUCUUUGAACUCUUCUCCAGGAUUUAUUUUAUUUAGUACUGCCAAUAGAAAUGACCAGUGCAGGUUGUCAGAGGCCUUUUCUGCAUCUAGAAAAAUUAGUGCUGUUUUCUUUCUUUUUUCAUUGAUAUGUUCUACUAUGUUAUGAACCUACUAUUAUCCUUAUUGUUCUUUUUCAGAAUAUAACCUGUUUGGUCAUUGUGUAUUAUAUCUGAGAGACAUUUCUAGUUCAGCUAGUAGUGUUGUAAAAAUUGUGUAGUCUACAUUCAACGAAGGCAUUGGUCAUUAUGACUAUAGUUUCUCUGGAUCAUUCCCUUCUUUGUAAAUCAAAGUUGUCCAUGUGGAUGGUAUCACCUUUGUCUCUUUGAUUUCACUCAUUGUGUUUGUCAGUGGUUCCAACAAUUCCUUCUCAAGUUCUUUAUAUCAAUUUUUUUUAUAUACAUGAUAGUGUGAAAAACUACUUUUGAACUACAAAUCCUGCACAUCACUUCAAGUACAAAAAUAUGAUGAGGAUUGUUGUUAUUAAUGUUCCUCUACUACUUUACAAAACUCUAGGAGAGCUGCUGAAGUGCUUCCGUAUUUCAGGACAAAAUUCUAAUGUGUUGAUGUAUUUUGUUAUCAAUUCAUACAUGGUGCUGUUAGCUUAGUCAGGUAAAGGACCAAGAGAAGACUUCUCAGAUUUGUAGAUGCUCAAAUGCCAGCUUAUGCCAACUGCCUCAAAUGCCAAAUGCCAACUGCCUCAGAAAAAUAGUAUUGCAAAUUAUUCAUGUAUACCACUAAAUAUUUAGUGAAAACUUUGCUUAUCUUUCAUCAGAUCAAAUAUAGUUUUAAAGAAUAUUUUUUGUUUCUAUGAAUAUCAUUAAUUUGUAAAACUGAAUGUUUCUGAAAGGUACAUUCAGUACGCAGUGACCAGUUACACAGCAAGGUUAAUUAAAUAGAUUAUAUCAAAUUAUAUACACAGCUCCACUAUAUUAACAUUUUAUUGCACUGCAAGCAGAUGGAACAGAUUGAUUUCCUGCUCUCCAAAGCUUUAUGUACAAAACAAAUGUAGUUGUGUUACCAUAAUGGUCAUGAGGAAAUGUGUACAACAUUACAUGACCAACGGAAGUACAGUUGCAUGAUUCUCUUCUCCUCCUCCCUGCAGCUCCAUAGGUGAGCUCCAAAUUUCCUCCAGAAGAUCCCCCAAAUUCUCCUGAAUGUGCAAGUUUGAGGUAUGUGAGGAGAAGAUAAAGGAGAAGGAAUUGAUUCUACUGGCUGAAACCAUCCGAACCUUUGGAUGGAUACCUUUGGAUAUAACCCACUGUUGUGCCUCCUCAUUUGGUAAUCUGUUCCAGUUGGACACCCUAUCUUUGAAAGAUACAGUACCAGCAUAGUUCUAUGGGUGUACCCCCCAUGUUGAAGGAGCAUAUUCUUCAGGAAUUAGCACAUUCUAAUUACAUGCACUAAGGCAUUAAUAUUAUAUCUUAAAUAUUUGACUAGUGAGAUUGAAUGGGGAUCUAAGAAUGGGAUCUAAGCAACAUUGAUACAUGGACAUUGCCCAGCCAUCCACCAGCUCAGGGGAGAGAAAGGCUUCACUGAAUGUGUAACAAAUGGAGGAUCUCUGUGAUAACGAAGUAAAGAUUUUAUGGCACAAAGGAUGGUGUAUAUUACCUCUUCCUGCAGUCCUUCCCAAAUACAUAAGCUACUUUAAACCAUGAGUUACAAUAUCAGUGCACAUCAGCUUUGCUUAUCUGAGUAAUAAUUUUAGCCAAAGGAAACUACUCUGAAUUUACUUUUAUAAUUGCUAUUAUGACUUGGACCUACUAAUAUCAAAAGAAUAAGAUGUAAAUAUUUCCGACCUUUACAUCCUUAUAUGCAGUAUCUGCAAAUCUCAUCCAAAAUGGGGAAAUAUGGAUGCCAUAGAGAGGAUUUUGCCUAUCAUUGUAACAAUUUUAAAAUGCUGAUCUGGUAAACACUUCAGAUAAUCUUAAGAAUUUGAAAGCAUCAACACUUAAGCAUAAAGACUUUCUGUAAAUCCAGAAAAACUCUUCAGUCAUGAACAGAUUAACAGGAUGUGGGCCUCAAUCAUGCUUGAGAAAGCAACAGGAGAAAAUAGCCUAUUUCACAGAAUACAAUUGGACAGAUAAUGCACAGUGGGUGCAUCUGAUUAAAUGGCUUUUGACCCAUGAAAACUUUUACUGCUAUUAUAGUAAUUAGUCUUUAAGAUGCUACAAGUUUCUUCGUGGUGUUUGUACAGAUGUCUGACUUCAUACACUACAAAUGCAUAUACUGGCCUUUCCCAGCCUUGUGGCCUCCCAAUUGGCCAUGCUGGCUGAGGCUGUGAAGAUGUCCACCUUAACUGGAUGUUCAUAUAUAAGUAAUGAACAUCUUUCUGCCUCAUCUAUAUGCACAAAUCUGAAAAUACAUAAAGAGGGUCUUUAUAAAUAGUUUUACAAAAAUAACUAGUACUACAGAUAUGUAAAUAGUUCUAUAGAAAUGUGGGUGCUGCAUGGAAACAGAUGUAGAUUUUACUGUAUAUGAGUGUCAGAUGAAUUUCGUUUUAAGAGCAGAAGGAUAAAGGCCAAAACAACUGAGACAGUUGCAGAUGGUUUCUGUUUUUACUGUAAUGUUGCUGCAAGGGGCUCAACAAUGUGAUGACAUUUCUAUGGGGAAAGAGUAAAUUCUUCCCUUGUGAGCCAUUUUUUCCAGCCAAAAAUAAUCUUCCAAUGUUCUUUUCUCCCUGACAAAGAAAAAAAAGGCGAGCACAAAUCCUGUUCUUUGCACUACUGAUGCGCCAGACUUGGACACAUACCCAGUGACUACAUUAAAAACAAUAUGAAAACCAUCAGGAGGUGCUCCUUGUUUUGCACACUGCAUCUACAGUAGUUUGGCCAUAAUAAUAAUAAUAAUAAUAAUAAUAAUAAUAAUAACUAUAAAUGUGCUUUGAUCUUCGUAGAACAUCCUUGAAAAUGUAUAAAUGCAUGACUUCCUUCUUUUUCAAAAUAUUACAUUGUUAUAAUCCUAAACACAUCAUUACUAUGUCACAGCUCUAAUUAUGCCACACUGUGAUUUAAUAUAUUUUUUAGUCUUUGCAUGGCACUUUUGUUCAGAAAGUUGGAGAAAACAAAAUGCAAAAUGAGCAGGCAGUAUAAGCAAAACUUUGCAUUGGAAUAUUCUAUGAGAUUUGAUUCUGGGAAUGACAGCCAGUUCUUUAGCAGUCAGGUAUUUUGAAUAAACAUUUCAGAUUUUAUUCCACUUGGAGAGCAAUUAUAUAGAAGCACUGUUAAGGAGUUUACUCUGAGUAAAGAUUUUUAAAAUGUAAAAUGGUAGUUGAAGUAAUUUUUCUAAAAUUUCCCCUACCUCUAUUUUCAUGUGUUCCUUUCCUUCUGUUUAAAAUAUCUAUUACGUUUGAAGAGUUAUAAAGUAGAAAUGUGGUUGUUUAGGACAUUCAGUACUUGUUAAUUGAAUUGCUUGCCUGCUUGCUUGCUUGCAUUUCCAUCCUCUACUAGCACUAGAACCACACCACAAAAGAAAACAGGGUUGACUCAAAUAGAGCAAUCAGCUCUUCAUAGACAGAACAGAUUGGAAAGCACAGCUUGACAAGGCACUUCCUGAAGGGCAAGCACAGAGCUGAAUCCUUAGAAAUGGUUCAUAGAUGGGACAAACUUUGUUCUGUUUGGAAAUCCUCUCAGUGAAGGAGAAAUCAAUGGCAGGCCACCAGUGCUUGAAGGGUUAAUCAAUCUUGGCAAUCCAGUUUUUCAAAAAAGGUAAUUCCAAACAUUUUGGUCUAGGGGUGGAGAUGCAGAAUAUAGAAUGACUGGAGUUUUUUUAAAGCAGUUUUUCAUACCCGUGCAUUUUGUGUCAAACCCAUUUCUUCCCUAACUGUAAUUCUCGAAGCUUCUACAUAAUCCCAGGUUUGAGGGUGUGCAUUGCUGAAGAUCAGGAGGAGUUGCUUUCUCCUCUUAAUUGUUCCAAAUCUCCAGUUCUUGUCUUCUCUCUCUAGAGAUUAUUUUACUUCUCUAUGGAAAUACAUGGAUCUUUUGUGAAUAAGAUUAUUGCUGGUUUUCUAGGCAAAGAAUGAAUGAGGGGCAAUUUUCAUAACCUUAUUUUUUAAAAAUCCUAUGUUAUAAGAGACACAGGAUAAGAAAUCUAGAAUGAAUGAACUCAUUUAUGAAAUCACGUUUUCAAUUUCUUGCUGAGGCUUUCUCUUUUCUUUGUAUGUAUAAGGAAUGUGAAGGCACUUUCUUGGCCAUAGCAGUCUCCAUUGCUUCUGUGGAAAAUACCACAUUCCAGAUUCACAAUUUUGAAAGCUGUUUGGUUAUAGCUUCUGUUGAAAUGACUAUGUAGUGUGGUGACCUACUUGCAUGUUUUUUUUUAAUAAAACAUUGUCCAAAACUCUAUGAUGGUAAUUUAGACAUAUUAGUAGAUCAAAUAUUGUUUGAUCCUAUUUUCCCAAUCCAUUUACAUUUCAUUUUUUAAAAUUAUCAGUUAUAAUUUUAAACUUCUUAUUAGCAUAGGAGAAAGGGAGCAAAUAAAUUUAAGCAAAUCCCUAGCCAAUAACUGACACUUUGGUUCUGUAAAUAAUGUAUAAAUGAUGAUACAAUGUGUGCAAAUUUUUAAAAAGAGUUUGUUAGUUUUUUAUUACCUCAUUCAGCAAAUUUAUUUUACAAUGACUCCAUAAAAUCUUAUUUAUGUUGUUUGUACUGUAACUAAAAAUAUUGAUAACAUUUUCUUUUGCUUGUUUCAUAUGAUCUUGUUUGAUUAAAUAUGUUUGUUUGUA
Molecule: long non-coding RNA, 5452 nt
Organism: Candoia aspera
Lineage: Eukaryota; Metazoa; Chordata; Lepidosauria; Squamata; Candoiidae
Exons: 2
Source: RefSeq, a predicted model, not a curated record